Non-coding RNA from Trichonephila clavata, 73 nucleotides. The record is from the annotation of a GenBank genome assembly. Lineage: Eukaryota; Metazoa; Arthropoda; Arachnida; Araneae; Nephilidae.
GUCCCUGUAGCGCAAUAAGUAGUGCGUUGAACCUCUAAUUCAAAGGUCAUGGGUUCGAAUUCCACCUGAGAUG